RNAcentral lists this ribosomal RNA (465 nucleotides) under uncultured bacterium. RNAcentral's name for it is "partial 16S ribosomal RNA". It matches the Rfam family "Bacterial small subunit ribosomal RNA", at positions 28 to 507 of the family's 1533-position model. The record is from RNAcentral.
GACGAACGCUGGCGGCGUGCUUAACACAUGCAAGUCGAACGGAAAGGCCCUGCUUGCAGGGUACUCGAGUGGCGAACGGGUGAGUAACACGUGGGUGAUCUGCCCUGCACUUCGGGAUAAGCCUGGGAAACUGGGUCUAAUACCGGAUAGGAGCCAUUUUUAGUGUGAUGGUUGGAAAGUUUUUUCGGUGUAGGAUGAGCUUGCGGCCUAUCAGCUUGUUGGUGGGGUAAUGGCCUACCAAGGCGGCGACGGGUAGCCGGCCUGGGUGGGUGGACGGCCACAUUGGGGCUGAGAGACGGCCCAGACUCCUACGGGAGGCAGCAGGGGGGAAUAUUGCACAAUGGGCGCAAGCCUGAUGCAGCGACGCCGCGUGGGGGAUGACGGCCUUCGGGUUGUAAACUCCUUUCGCUAGGGACGGAGCUUUUUGUGACGGUACCUAGAUAAGAAGCACCGGCUAACUACGUG